Molecule: long non-coding RNA, 6433 nt
Organism: Mustela lutreola (European mink)
Lineage: Eukaryota; Metazoa; Chordata; Mammalia; Carnivora; Mustelidae
Exons: 4
Source: RefSeq, a predicted model, not a curated record
CGUGUACGAGGCCACGAAAUCUGAAGCAAAUGUGCGGUGCCUGAUGUAUUCGCUUAACUCCUCCAAGUGACUGAUUCUGCCAAGGUCGAAUUAAUAAGUCUCCUUUGAUGUUAAUGAUUGAGAGGUUCCCCGGAAAGGACGGAAUGCUGACCGCAGGACACUGUUUGGAAAUACCUAAACGAACUUGAUGGCGACUCCUAGCCUGUGUUUGAGCCGACGCGACGGACUUCGACGCGUUCUGUAAAAGACGCCCCCCUCCCCCCCGCCGCUUGCCUGACCCGCAGUUUAUUUUUGUCCGUUUUUAACUUGGAGCCGUCUCAAAAGCAAGCCACGAACGGACUGCUCGGCAGCUCACUUGGAGGAGGCACAACCAGCUCUCGACGGAGCGCGGCCUGCAGUCAGCACCGGGCAGGAGGCACCGGCUGGCCCUUUCCGCAGGACCAGCGGCGGCAGCGCGGGCCCACAGGUUUCGGUUAGACCGCAACAGGAAGUUUUCUCUUCUCUUGCGGGAAGCCGUGCAACCAAAGAGAAAUUUGAACUCCCACACCCGCGGGAGCACCCAGAGAUUCGGCUUAGGUGACGCUUCUCCUCGGCACCCAGUUAUCGGACUCCCUGUUGUGACCUCCUUAGCGGCUUCCCCAAUAUUUUGGGGUCCUUGGAGAGCUGGAGUGGUGGCCUGUUGCCGUGUAUGAGCGAGAGAGCACAAGGAGGCAGAGUAGCAGAGGGAGAGGGAGAAGCAGGCUCCCCACUGAGCAGGGAGCCGGACCGACAUGGGGCUCAAUCCCAGGACCCUGAGACCACAGUCUGAGCCAAAGGCAGUUGCCUAACCAACUGAGCCACCCAGGUGCCCCUGAGGUAGUAUUAUUGAAUCCUAUCCGUGGUAGUAUAAUUAUGACUGAUUUGUCUGCCUAACUUGUCAUUCAUUAUUUUACUUUCUCUUUGCUCUUUGUAAAACAUGUGCCAAGUUAUGAUACUUGGGCUUUAAGAAUGUCAAGAGGUAAGAAGGAGCCUGUGUUAGGGAAAUCAUAUUGUUGGCUAACUUCCUUUGUGUUUCUCCAUGGUAAUACCAAGUGCUGGUCAUUUUACUAGAAAGAUGAGACUUCAAACUCAUUCUCAGUCAAUAUUGUCUUUCUCCUGAAAAGAAAGUGUUUAUUACUGCUGAAUUCAAAACUGAACUUCGUCAAUAAACACAGUUCUUUUCUUUUCACUGAUGUAGUCAACAAUCAUUUUAGGAAGAUGUAAAAAUUGGGGUCCUCGCAUGGCUCAGUCAGUUAAGCUGGUAGUGGCUGGGGUCAUGAUCUUGGCUUUUGGCUCGGGACAUGAUCUUGGGGUCUUAGGAUCAAGCUCCACAUUGGGUUCCCUGCUCGGUGGGGAGUCUACUUGUACCUCUCUCUCUGCUCCUUUCCCCUGCUUGUGCUCUCUCUCUCUCUCACACAUAAGUAAAUAAAAAAAUCUUUUAAACUGUUUUAGAAAAAUGUAAAAAUCACUCUACAUUUAUUAAAUUGUGCAAUAGAUUAACUCAGAGAGCCCGGUAAAUUAAUCUCAAAAUAAUUAAACUGAACUCUUUUUAAAUUAAAUUUUAAUUUUAAAAAUAAUUUUCGAUUUAUAGAAAAGUUGCUAUGUACUCUUCACCCAGCUUCUUCUAAUAUCUUCUAUUACCAAGAGACGUGUCAAAACAAGGAAAUUAACAUUGGUGUUUUAUUGAAGGGAUUUUCAGGAAUGGAGGGAAAUGAAAAAGACAAAAUCAUUUUACUUUCUCUUGAAGACUGAACAAAAUGCAUGAGGAUUCGGUAAAUGGCAAAUGGCUUUGACCCCUUUUGCUGCUCAUUAACUAUCUGGUGUUAGCACCUGCCUCCCCUUGGUUGUCUCCCUUCACUGUCCAUUUCCCAGCAGGUGGCAGUGACCCACUGUGGCGUAUGAUUGAUCCAGCUGUACACCUAAAGCCUGGUGUCUGCUCUCAUAGCCAUGGGCCCCACACGAUGUUGCACUAAAUGUGAGUAUUUUGAACGCAGGGGAGCCUUCUUGCUGCUCCCAAGUCCAUUAGAGCAGUGGUUACAAUUUGGUGGUCAAAAGCAAGGCUGUGUUGUCAGACUCCUGGGUUUAAACCUUGCCUCUACUUUGGGACUUUCAGCAAAGGCUUUCACCUUUAAGUUUCCCUUUUCUCAUUCCCAUUUUGCAGAGAGGAAAUGAGUGCUGUAGUGAGGUUUACAUUUUAUAAUUGUCAGACAUCACAGGGAAGAGGGCCCAGUACAGAGUAAGCGCUUAGUAAAUGUUACCUGUUAUUAUCAAUGUGUUUCAGAAACCGUGGGUGGCUCAGUCUCCCAACUGGGUGGUCAAGAAAUAACCAAGACUCAAUGGUAGAGCAAAAGCAUAAGGAAGUCAGACUUUUAUUUAUUGUCCACAAGAGGAUGAGAAUUGCAAAGCCCUGAGAAGAGGACAGUCCCAAUCAUCCUACCACCUGCCUAUAGAAAUAUAUAUGCAUCAUGCUGCCUUGUCACAGGGAUCUUGAAAUGCCACCCUAAUACUUAUGUUAACAAUGUCACAUUUUAUUUUAUUUUUAAAAAAGGUUUUAUUUUUAAGUAAUCUCUACAUCCAACAUGGGGCUUGAACCCACAACCCCGAGAUCAAGAGUCUCACCCUCCACUGACUGAGCCAGCCAGGCACCCCUACAGCUUCACAUUUUAAAAUACCAACACCCUGGAGAAUUACUGCAUUAAAUGAUCUUUACAAUAGAACACUCUAAUGGAAAAUUAUCUAAUUAUCUGAUUAUUUUUCUCCUGGCAGUGAGAAACCUGGGAAUUUUAGUGGGAGUGCGGGGGGGAGGGGGGGGGGACAAAAGGGUAAUCUUGGAAUCUGGGGUACCAUCUUCGAAAGACAGGCUUAACCAAAGGAAAAAGUUCCAGGCUGCCAAGAAGUUGAAGAAGGGAUACUGAAUGCCUGGGAAGUAUGCUAGAGAAGCUGUUCAGUAUCGAAGAAAAGGAAAAUGGGAAGCAGAACUAAAGUAAACUUGGAUUCCUGCACAACUUAAUUUAAGGAAGACUGGAUUUUCUCAACACAUUUAAUUUCAGUAGUUGCCAACCAUUCUCAAGUAAAACCAUUUGAGAAGAAAGAUAGACCUGAAUAGAGACUUCUUUCCAAUAUUUAUCGAUCACCCAUAUGGACCAGGCACUUUGCUAAGUGCUCAUCACACAGAGGAGAACCAGAUAUUUUUGUCUUCAGAGAAUUUAUAUUCUAAAAGGGUGGGCCAAAAGCAUAAAAAACUAAGGAAAAUGUACUUUCAAGUUGUGAUAUGUGCAAUGAAGAAUACAAAACCUACACUAUUGUAUUUUUUUGUCUUCCACUCUACAAUCUGAAUACCUUGCAAAAUCUGUGGUACAACAGAGAUAAGUUGGCAAUGACUACAAUCUUCAUAAUUUACAACAUCAACUAUUAUUGACUUAGGUCCCAUGUAAGAAAUCCCAUGGAGGACUUCUAGGGAUAAUCUUAUAGCACUCUCAGAACCCUCAGAAAUUCUUUAAACUUAACAUUCUAAGCACUGAGGGGCUCCCCAAAGCCAGCUAUGAUCAUUAAGUAGGUGAGAUGAACUGCUGUCCGUGAGGUUUGACUUUAGGAUUUAGCUGCUGUCUGCUCUCCCCACCCUAAUGCAGUGUCCAUCCUUCAGCUGCAUCUUCAGAAAUUCUAGGGUUGAGAAUUCUAAUAGACUGGCCUAAGGACAAGAACAAAGGGAAUGGUGGUUAAGUUAUGGAGCUGCUAGUGAUAAGAAGAGAGAGGCUUAAGGAAUAUACCCAAAGCCCCAGAAAAGAAGGUAUUGAGAAAACUGAUGGAAAAUGCUUCAUGUAGGAGAGUAAACUCACGACGCUUCCAGAUCAGAAACCCCGGUCAAGAGUAGAGUGGGGAACAGGAUUCCUCCUGAACUUUAAAGGCAAAGUGGGAGCCAUUUGAGGUCCCUGCUUGCUCAACUGUUAGAGGGGACUAUAAAUCUGUAUUACGCCAGGCUGCCUGUGCAGUCCUAAACAUUCUUUUAUGCAUGUGAUUACUAAAGCCACUGCAAGGAGAAGUCAAGCAGAGGACUUAAGUUAUCUGUUACAAGGAUCAUUGUGCUACAGUCGAUAGAAUGCCGAGAUAGAAUGUAAAAUAUAGUUACGCCUUACCUCUCCCUAGUGAAAGAGGUAAUAAGAGGAAUAUGAACUGGAGUAAUCAAGUAAAACUGCUACCUUCUUGAGCCUUCAAGCACCCUUUUUUAAAAAAAUCUGCCCAGCAUCCUUUCUGGGGGAACACGUCCCCCACCCACAUUCCAAAGUAUUCCUGGUCAGGUGGUUUGGCCCAAGGAUGGGUAUGUGGUCCAGACUCAGUCAAUCAGCUACAGUCGAUAGAAUUCUAGUCACAGUGAUUAGUUCCUGAAAGAGUAGUUCCCCAGAAGUCUCUGUGUUUAUUUACCAGCUAUCCAGAAAAAUACCCCCUUUUCCAGGAUCAUAAGCUGUAGGAACUCUGGAGGUCUGAGGUAACCAGAGUCCAACUGACUGACGCAUGGAGUCAGCUUGAAGAUGAAACUAAGCAGCGGCAAACGGGAUAGGGAGUGAGGGCGGAGAGGUCCUAACCUAUACUAUAUCCACUCUGUAAGAUCUUUGUGUGGGUGAAGCUGAGUAGAAGGACAAGUUUCUACCAGUCUCUAGGAAUGGGGCAACCUGCUCUCUGACUCACCGUAGAACCAGCUAUCCUUGUUAGAAGGGGACAGUUUCUCAAAGACAUUUAUCGUGGAAGGGGACUGAUGAUAGCAAAUAAUGAGGUGGGACUAUUUGAAGUUAUUUGCCUUGGGGUAGCCAAGUUUAGUGUAUACCUGUCUGCUCUCUCAAGCCUUCCCAUGCACUGCACUCCCCUCUCCACCAAUCCCUGUCCUCAUCCCCAUCUCCGCUGCAUUCCAUUAACCCGCCUUACCAUUCACCUCGGGGGGAAAAAGAGUGAGGAAGAAAAAGCAAGACUGAGACAGCAUCCAAACCCAUCAUAAUUAGUCUUCUUGUCUUUCUCAGACAUCAGUCUUUAGAAUGUUUGAAAGCAAGACUGUGUCUCCCACUCCUGGAUGGUCAAGGUCUUACACAGCCCCAAGACUUAGUAAGCAUGUCAGUGAACUUGAGUGAAUCUGGAAGGGGCUGUAGAGAUGGAGGCCCUGUAGUAUUCAGCCUGAGAAAGUCAUUGCUUUGGAUGGAAGUGUUGCCUCUCCAAGCAUCCUCUUGAAAAACCCAAAUACUCAGAGGAAACUUAAGGUACUGCACUUAAUGAAGAGGAGCCCAGCAACUCUCAUUUUUGGCAGCUAUCAGAACAAGAGGAAACACAAACACUGGAUUUUAGAGAACAGUCCGAGUAUGAUAGAAAGAGCACAAGUUUGGUUAACUGAUUUGGAGAACAGUUGGAUCUCUCUCCCAAAGUUGAACAUUUGUGUGGAUUUGAUCCAACAAUUCAUUCCGAGGGAUGGACCUGAGGGAAACUCAUGCAGAUUUGCAACAGGAGACAUGUGCAACAAUGUUCAGAGUUUCGCAGUGUGAAAACCUGAGAACAGCCCAGAUGCCCAUCAACAGGAGAGUGGAUGGGUGAAAUAACAUUAUCUAUACUAUAGUGAAAUAUAGUUACAUAACAUUAUCUAUACUAUAACAUUAUCUAUACUAUCUAUACUACAUUAACUAUACUAAUAUAGUUACAUAACAUUAUCACAUAGCAAUAAAAACAAAUGAACUAUGCUAAUUCACUACAGUGUGGAUAAAUCCUAGAAAUGAAACAAUAAAACAUUAAGUGAAGAAAGUAGUUGUCCUAAAAGUAUACAAAAUCAUAAUUUGUAUAAAGUUGAAAACAACUAAUAUAAGAAUAUACUUUAUAAUCUUAAAUCUUAGUUCAUACAAAUAUUGCCUGAAAUCAUUAGAAGCAUUGAUACAAGAGUUAAACUUGAAUCAUGAAUAGAGUUGGAUUGACGGAAAUGGAGUGAUCUGUUCCAGUGUGUGAUUAAGCGUAGACUGAGGCGGGAAUAUGUUGAGUGACGAAGAGGAUAAAAAAAAUGACACUUCAAGAGUACAACUAGACCGUGAACUUUCUAAAGGCUGGUAUUGUGUAUUAUUCAUCUUUAUAUCCCCCUGGCCCGGCACGGUACAUGAAUGAAUAGAGUUCAACAAUUGUUUGUUAUUUAAGUGGAUUAAAUACAUAAAUAAAAGCAUAACUUAGAAAAAGAAUAUACUUUAUAGAAAUAUAUAUAGAUGCAAUAAAACUACCUAUUUAAAAAAACAAAGGAAUUCUGGAGGAUGGUUUUCUUGGGUGAAUACAUGAGGGGAGUGGGCUGGGGGACCACAUGGUUAGAUGAAGGUUAUGUCAAGGUUCUAGCUUUUGUUUGGGAUUGUGGGUACCAAACACAUGAUUACAAACAACAAAAUUAAUAAGUCAAGACAAAACU